RNAcentral lists this ribosomal RNA (315 nucleotides) under uncultured bacterium. Its description in RNAcentral is "bacterial SSU rRNA". It matches the Rfam family "Bacterial small subunit ribosomal RNA", at positions 28 to 334 of the family's 1533-position model. The record is from RNAcentral.
GAUGAACGCUAGCGACAGGCUUAACACAUGCAAGUCGAGGGGCAACGGGGUUGUAGCUUGCUAUAACUGCCGGCGACCGGCGCACGGGUGAGUAACACGUAUGCAACCUGCCCGUUGCAGGGGGAUAAGCGGAAGAAAUUCCGUCUAAUACCGCGUAAUAUGGGCGAUAGGCAUCUAUCAUUCAUUAAAGAUUUAUCGGCAACGGAUGGGCAUGCGGUGCAUUAGCUAGUUGGCGGGGUAACGGCCCACCAAGGCGACGAUGCAUAGGGGUUCUGAGAGGAAGGUCCCCCACACUGGUACUGAGACACGGACCAG